CGGGGUGAGUAAUGCUUGGGAAUCUGGCUUAUGGAGGGGGGUAACUACGGGAAACUGUAGCUAAUACCGCGUAGUAUCGGAAGAUGAAAGUGCGGGACCGUAAGGCCGCAUGCCAUGAGAUGAGCCCAAGUGGGAUUAGGUAGUUGGUGGGGUAAAGGCCUACCAAGCCUGCGAUCUCUAGCUGGCCUGAGAGGAUGGCCAGCCACACUGGAACUGAGACACGGUCCAG
This 229-nucleotide ribosomal RNA is filed under the name uncultured bacterium. Its description in RNAcentral is "partial 16S ribosomal RNA". It matches the Rfam family "Bacterial small subunit ribosomal RNA", at positions 104 to 334 of the family's 1533-position model. The record is from RNAcentral.